UCAUCAUAUAUCUGGCUUGAGACUCUCUGUUGAUAAUGCCUUUAAACAUGGCAUGAUUGGUGAAGAUGUAGCCAGGCAGCUCAGAAAAGUUGAGAACUUUAACCACCAUCAAUUUUUUCAUCCUCAAACAAAGGAAGCUCUUUCCUUCUCAGAAGCCAUAAAAUUAGAUCUUGUUUCUCCAGACUUGAAAAGAGAAAUCCAAGAGAUUCUGGACUUUAGUGAAAACUUGGGGGAUCUCAUUUAUGGCCAGAAAUUGACCUCGGUAAAAGCUAACAAAGAAGAAUCCUUAGCUAAUAAAACAGCAUUGCCUUCGAGAGUGAUACAUGGGGUUAUAGAUCCUGAGAGCUGCACAACAAUUCCCUACUCAGAAUUGGUAAAGAAAUGUAGGAUUGACAUUGAAUCUGGAUGGAGAUAUCUCGAAGUAAUUCCACUCUCUGAUAUUAAAGAUGAGAUGAGCAACAAAGUGCUAACACCAUCUGAAGCAAUUCAGCGUGGAAAA
Molecule: long non-coding RNA, 499 nt
Filed under: Rattus norvegicus (Norway rat)
Lineage: Eukaryota; Metazoa; Chordata; Mammalia; Rodentia; Muridae
Description: long non-coding RNA NONRATT023585
Source: RNAcentral